CCUACGGGAGGCAGCAGUGAGGAAUAUUGGACAAUGGGCGCAAGCCUGAUCCAGCCAUGCCGCGUGCAGGAAGACGGUCCUAUGGAUUGUAAGCUGCUUUUAUACAGGAAGAAACACCUCUACGUGUAGAGACUUGACGGUACUGUAUGAAUAAGCAUCGGCUAACUCCGUGCCAGCAGCCGCGGUAAUACGGAGGAUGCAAGCGUUAUCCGGAAUCAUUGGGUUUAAAGGGUCCGUAGGCGGUUUAAUAAGUCAGUGGUGAAAGCCCAUCGCUCAACGAUGGAACGGCCAUUGAUACUGUUAAACUUGAAUUAUUAGGAAGUAACUAGAAUAUGUAGUGUAGCGGUGAAAUGCUUAGAGAUUACAUGGAAUACCAAUUGCGAAGGCAGGUUACUACUAAUAUAUUGACGCUGAUGGACGAAAGCGUGGGGAGCGAACAGGAUUAGAUACCCUGGUAGUCCACGCCGUAAACGAUGGAUACUAGCUGUUCGGAGCAAUCUGAGUGGCUAAGCGAAAGUGAUAAGUAUCCCACCUGGGGAGUACGUUCGCAAGAAUGAAACUUAAAUGAAUUGACGG
This 576-nucleotide ribosomal RNA is filed under the name uncultured bacterium. RNAcentral describes it as "bacterial SSU rRNA". It matches the Rfam family "Bacterial small subunit ribosomal RNA", at positions 338 to 916 of the family's 1533-position model. The record is from RNAcentral.